RNAcentral lists this small nuclear RNA (71 nucleotides) under Cervus elaphus hippelaphus. Lineage: Eukaryota; Metazoa; Chordata; Mammalia; Artiodactyla; Cervidae. The record is from RNAcentral.
GUGCUCGCUUCGGCAGCACAUAUACUAAAAUUGUAAUGAUACAGAGAAGAUGAGCAUGGCCCCUGCACAAG